Molecule: transfer RNA, 69 nt
Filed under: Bos taurus (domestic cattle)
Lineage: Eukaryota; Metazoa; Chordata; Mammalia; Artiodactyla; Bovidae
Also listed under: 4 other names
Rfam family: tRNA
About the family: Transfer RNA (tRNA) molecules are approximately 80 nucleotides in length.
Source: Rfam by way of RNAcentral
CCUGGUGGCUAAGAUGGUAAAGAAUCUGCCUGCAAUGCAGGAGACCCAGGUUCGAUCCCUGGGUUAGGA